RNAcentral lists this ribosomal RNA (161 nucleotides) under Echinops disfulensis. RNAcentral's name for it is "5.8S ribosomal RNA". It matches the Rfam family "5.8S ribosomal RNA". From Rfam's summary of the family: 5.8S ribosomal RNA (5.8S rRNA) is a component of the large subunit of the eukaryotic ribosome. It is transcribed by RNA polymerase I as part of the 45S precursor that also contains 18S and 28S rRNA. The record is from RNAcentral. Lineage: Eukaryota; Viridiplantae; Streptophyta; Magnoliopsida; Asterales; Asteraceae.
ACGACUCUCGGCAACGGAUAUCUCGGCUCCCGCAUCGAUGAAGAACGUAGCAAAAUGCGAUACUUGGUGUGAAUUGCAGAAUCCCGUGAACCAUCGAGUUUUUGAACGCAAGUUGCGCCCGAAGCCAUUCGGUCGAGGGCACGUCUGCCUGGGCGUCCCGC